ACGAAGGUGGCAAGCGUUGUUCGGUAUUACUGGGCUUAAAGCGUGUGUAGGCGGAUAAAUUAGCGUUUUGUGAAAUCCCUCGGCUUAACCGAGGAAUUGCUUGACGAACUGUUUAUCUUGAGGCAAGUAGGGGUGCACGGAACUCUUGGUGGAGCGGUGGAAUGCGUAGAUAUCAAGAGGAACGCCAGUGGUGAAGACGGUGCACUGGGCUUGUUCUGACGCUGAGACACGAAAGCGUGGGGAGCAAACAGG
RNAcentral lists this ribosomal RNA (252 nucleotides) under uncultured bacterium. RNAcentral describes it as "partial 16S ribosomal RNA". It matches the Rfam family "Bacterial small subunit ribosomal RNA", at positions 525 to 776 of the family's 1533-position model. The record is from RNAcentral.